UACGAAGGGGGCUAGCGUUGUUCGGAUUUACUGGGCGUAAAGCGCACGUAGGCGGAUCGAUCAGUCAGGGGUGAAAUCCCAGGGCUCAACUCUGGAACUGCCUUUGAUACUGUCGAUCUGGAGUAUGGAAGAGGUGAGUGGAAUUCCGAGUGUAGAGGUGAAAUUCGUAGAUAUUCGGAGGAACACCAGUGGCGAAGGCGGCUCACUGGUCCAUUACUGACGCUGAGGUGCGAAAGCGUGGGGAGCAAACAGG
RNAcentral lists this ribosomal RNA (253 nucleotides) under uncultured bacterium. RNAcentral's name for it is "partial 16S ribosomal RNA". It matches the Rfam family "Bacterial small subunit ribosomal RNA", at positions 524 to 776 of the family's 1533-position model. The record is from RNAcentral.